Molecule: long non-coding RNA, 727 nt
Filed under: Capsicum annuum
Lineage: Eukaryota; Viridiplantae; Streptophyta; Magnoliopsida; Solanales; Solanaceae
Description: long non-coding RNA (CANN_LNC001107)
Source: RNAcentral
UUUUUUUGGUUUAAUUUAUACUUUUCUUAAUAAUCAUAAUCAAAAUCAAAGUCUACAAUGAAUGAACCAACCCAUCCAACUAACACAAAACAACAAUCCCACAACACUAAAAUCGAACUGGCCCAAUGGAUGAUCCGGUCCAAAGCUUAAAGAACAUAUAUAGUGUGUAGGAUUUCUAAAAUGAGCUAAGAUCAACUCCUUCCCUAUUAGUUUUCUGCAUCCUUCACCGUGCUUGACUUCAAGAACCUUCAAUUUGUGUUGAUUCACCUUUGGGUGAUAAACAUUGUGCCUUGGUCAUGCUGAGUUGAAUCCUUUUCCAGCUUGCAAAAGUAAGCUCGUUUUAUCCUUUUCUGAUCUAACACUUGUUCUUUGGCUCUUGGUUGAUAUUAUCUUCUCUCCUCUUCCAGCUGAGAUCUACAUUGUAAGGGUGUAUGCAGUGAUUUUUGGUGCUAAAAAAAAGGGUCUGGUCCGUUGAGAUUUGGUAUUUAAUCUCGGUAAGCUGCUUCUAGUGUUGUGCUUGAUUCUGGUGUUUAAACUGAAACUUAACAAUGUCCUUCUUGCACAGUUGUGGAAGGGAUGCAUAUUGUGAGAUGCUCGGACCCGUUUUUGACUGGAUGAUAGCAAAUUCCUCAGCCACAUACAAUGAAGAUUUGACCUUAUGACCCCCGAUCAACUGAGAGACCUUUUUUGUUGGCUGGUGUAGUUAGGAUAAGUAGCAAUUUUCCUC